Molecule: long non-coding RNA, 1258 nt
Organism: Bos taurus (domestic cattle)
Lineage: Eukaryota; Metazoa; Chordata; Mammalia; Artiodactyla; Bovidae
Source: Ensembl
GGGAUGAUCAGGUGUUAGCCUUCUCAAAACACCAUGGCCCCUUCUGGGCUAUGCAGAGCAGGUUUCUGAGCUGCAGGGAUCCUCUGGGAAAAGCUAACUGCUGAAAUGUGCUCUUCAAGAACAAUUCAAGAUGAGUGGCUCUCCCCAUGCCCUGUGGUUCUGAGCACCAGUCUCAUCUCUCUCUCCAGACAGGUGGGCAAAAAUGAGGCUGAAUCUGAGAGAGCCAUGGGUCUGCUGGGCUUCCCCUACUCAGAACCAGCCUUUCUUAUUGUUUCUUCUCUGGACAUGCAGGGCAGUAGAGAAGGCAGAGGUGGGAACUAAUCCUCAGCCUUGGGGCUCACUGCAUGCCACUCUGAUUCAUUUCCCUCUAAUCAGUCCUCCCUGCUUCCUUCUCCCCUACUCUCUUCAACCCAGAAUACCAAGAAUGCUGACCACAAGAAAUUCAGCAGAAAGUGGUAAAGUGAGAAAGUAAAAAGGUUGCAGUCAGAAACGUGUUUGAUGUCUCUGAGUCCCAUCCCAUUUGGGAAUCCACAGCCUCAGAGCCCCAUCCAUGCUGGCCAGUACUUAGGCACUGGGGACCCAUAGAUGUUUUCCUUCUGUGUUUUGAUUGAACUUCCUCAGGACUCAGAGGAGCAGGCAAGCUAUUUGUGGAGAAUCAUUUUCCAAGUCAUUUAUUUGUUUCCUUCUAUGCAUCUGUGCCUCCCUCUGUUACCCAGCGCAAGUGGAGGACUCUAGAGAAAGAAGGUGAGGGAAGCCAGGGGCGGGAAAUGCAUGGCCACGCCCAGGCCGGAUGAGCCCUGGCUGAAGUGGUCCCUGACCUGCCUUCACACCUAAGGAGAAGGCACUAACGCAGGACAGAAGCUCUGGACACCAGCACUGCUGGGCAACCCGUGGGCUUUGCUGUUAGAAAAUCUUUAGCUUCUGGGGCCUUCCCUGAGUUCCAAAGAGCAAGUAUCAACACAAUCAGAGAAGUGAGAAAAUUCAGAAACAAAAGAAAACCAUCAGAGACUAAAACCCCCAUUGGGUGUGAGAAGUUAACUACAUUGCUGACCAGAAGUACAUGGACCCAGACCAGCUGAAACCAGAAGGUUGAUGAUGUUGACUCCCAAUCACCUCACACCCAUCAACUAGAAGAGUGCCCACAUGCUCAUGAGGCACCUUGAGGCCCUCUCCCUCACCCUGUGUUUAGAAACCUCUCCCUGAAGCCACCAAGGAGUUCGGGUCUUUUGAGCAUUACCACCUGUACUCCUUGCUCGGC